Molecule: non-coding RNA, 116 nt
Filed under: Ipomoea nil (Japanese morning glory)
Lineage: Eukaryota; Viridiplantae; Streptophyta; Magnoliopsida; Solanales; Convolvulaceae
Description: Eukaryotic small subunit ribosomal RNA
Rfam family: Eukaryotic small subunit ribosomal RNA
Source: Rfam by way of RNAcentral
GCUUAAUUUGACUCAACACGGGGAAACUUACCAGGUCCAGACAUAGUAAGGAUUGACAGACUGAGAGCUCUUUCGAUUUUUGGGUAAAUGUAAAUUAAAUAUAUACCCGAACAGCA